Molecule: non-coding RNA, 74 nt
Organism: Spirochaetes bacterium GWC2_52_13
Lineage: Bacteria; Pseudomonadati; Spirochaetota
Source: Rfam
GUAGCCAUAGCUCAGCUGGAUAGAGCAUCAGAUUGCGGAUCUGGAGGUCGGAGGUUCGAAUCCUCUUGGCUACA